AUGGCAUCUUUCAGGAAGUUGGUUCGGGAAAUCUCAGACCAUAAUCCUUUACUUCUCUCUGAUGGAGAAGAGGGGCAUGAAGCUCCUAAGCCUCGUGAGUUUCGUUUCAACAUUCCUUGGAUUAAAGAUGAAAAUUUCCUUCCUACUGUGAGUAGGAUCUGGUCGAGGAAAGUGCACUCCUCGGACCCUAUUGAUAUCUUAAAUAUCAAACUUAAGAGGUUUAAGAAUUACUUUAAAGGGUGGGGGUCCAACAAGUAUGGUCAUGACAAGAGAAGGAAAGAAGAGCUUAGGUUGGAGUUAGCCUUAUUGGAAGAAUUGGAAGAAAAUGGCCCCCUAUCCCCUGAGAUGUACAGUAACAAAAUGGAUAUUAGUAUGGAACUGCAUGAGCUUUUGGUGAACGAAGAGAUCUUUUGGUUGCAGCAAUCUCAUGAAAGAUGGCUGCUGAAAGGGGAUCUCAAUACUGACUACUAUCAUAAGAUUGCGAACGGGCGUAAAAGGAAAAACACGAUCCAUUCCCUGAAAGUUGGGGAUGUGGAAAUAGAAGGGACUAGUAAUUUGAUUGCUCAUGCAACAGAGUACUACAAAAACCUUUUCGGACCUGCACCCGGCAAUGAGUUCCAUAUGGAUCCUGAUACUUGGACCAUUAAUGAAAAACUUGAUGAGGAGCAUAAUGCUGAUUUGUGUCGGGUCUUUACGGAGACUGAAGUUAAGGAAGCUCUGUUUGCU
Molecule: ribosomal RNA, 726 nt
Filed under: Triticum aestivum (bread wheat)
Lineage: Eukaryota; Viridiplantae; Streptophyta; Magnoliopsida; Poales; Poaceae
Description: partial small subunit ribosomal RNA
Source: RNAcentral